CAACGCGACCCCAGGUC
This 17-nucleotide ribosomal RNA is filed under the name Ficus langkokensis. Its description in RNAcentral is "partial 28S ribosomal RNA". Lineage: Eukaryota; Viridiplantae; Streptophyta; Magnoliopsida; Rosales; Moraceae. The record is from RNAcentral.